Molecule: long non-coding RNA, 4026 nt
Organism: Cryptomeria japonica (Japanese cedar)
Lineage: Eukaryota; Viridiplantae; Streptophyta; Pinopsida; Cupressales; Cupressaceae
Exons: 10
Source: RefSeq, a predicted model, not a curated record
UCAUAUACCUUUUGCGUCUUCUCUGUUUGUUAGGGUUUCAAUUUAUGUGUAUGGCAUCUACUUCUACCUCUGGUGGAUAUGCUUUUCAUACAAUACUAACAUCUGCAUCUACUUCUUUUGCAUCCUCAUCGGGAACUAGACACCCGAACUACGAUGUAUUCAUAAAUCAUUGUGGAAAAGAUGUCAAAGACACGGUGGCUAGCAGAAUCUUCAAUGCCCUCGAUGCUACGGGACUGCGAGUUUUUCUGGACAAAGAGGAGUUGAAGAAUGGUGAUUUCUUCCCUAGAGUUCUAGAAGAAGCAAUGAGUAGUGCUUCACUUCAUAUAGCGAUUCUUUCCCAGAAUUAUGCAGAAUAUCUCUGGUGUUUGGCGGAGCUGGCAUUUAUGGUCGGAACUGGCAAAAAUAUUAUGCCCGUCUUCUAUUAUGUUAAGCCUUCUGAUCUAAUAUGGGCGGUUGAAGGCAAAGGUAUAUAUGCAGAUGCCUUCUCCGAGCAUGAAAAGAAAAAUAGAUGCACUUCAGAAGAGCUUCAGCGCUGGAAACUGGCACUUAAACAAGUUUCGUGUUGUUUUGGGGCCAUCGUAAAAAAUAUUGAUGACGAGCCGCGGGCUGUAAAGGAUCUCGUGAAUCGUCUAAUGAAAGAGAUGAGCAAGGUGCCAUUAGAGGUUGCGAUUGCACUUCAAUCUGUUGGGCCGAUAAAAAUUGUUGGGAAUCUGGGGAAUGGGCGGUUCGGGCAAAACUACUCUGGCGAAGGAACUUUAUAAGAAGAAAAGCUUGAUCAUUGAUAGGUCAAGUUUUUUUUCGGAUCUUCCAUUGCAUGAGAAACAGAAAAGGCUUUUGUAGGACCUUGACCUGAAAUGCAAACGUUCAGCUUUUGACAAUGUAGAUGAAGGCAAAGAGGUUCUAAAAAGUCGUUUGAGAUCUGUUUCUGUGCUUAUCAUUUUUGAUGAUGUGGAUCAUACUGAUCGGUUGGAUGCUCUGUUGCCAGCAACGGGCACCCUUGGCAAGGGAAGUCUGAUUAUUGUUUCCACACGAGACAAGCAUGUUAUUGAAGCUUGGUGCAUCUCCGCCAUUUAUAAAUUGAGAGCUAUGGAUGACACUGAUGCCCAACAACUUUUCUGUUGGGAUGCAUUCUUGCAACCCUCUUCAUUGUUGGGAUUCGAGGAUCUUGUUAAAAAGUUCAUAAAUGCUUGCCAUGGUCUGCCUUUAUCACUCAAGGUCUUAGGAGAUCAACUCUAUGAAGAAUUUCACAAGGAUUAGUGUUAGGCUCAACUAGACAAACUGUCCAGAUGACAUCAAAUUGAGGCUCAGAAUAAAUUAUGAUGCUCUAGAUAAAGAAGAGGAGAAGAUGUUCAUGGAUAUAUCAUGUUUCUUCAUUGGAUGGAGAAACAGUUGGGCAAUUGCAGUAUGGGAUGGAUCAGGGUGGAAUGGUAUACAUGAUUGGUAAAAGCUUGUGAACAAUGUUUGGUUGAAGUAGACAAAAAGAAUCGCAUAAGAAUGCAUGAUCAUUUAAGAGAUUUAAGAAGGGAAAUUGCAAAUCAAAGAUCACCCUAUCAUCUUUGGUUUCAAGGGCAGGUAAUCGAGAUUCAGCCUCAACAGGAAGGAGUACGAAUUCGAGGAAUAGUAAACGCAACUGGAGACUCCUGUUACUCCUCUCAAGGGAAGAUCAUUAUAAAUACAAGCCAAGGAUCUCGUGCUUUCAAGCCCUGCUCGCUUGGAUUAAAGAUUUUAGUGGGUACAGGGCAUUUUUUCAAUCAAGAAAAUGAAUAACUUCUAAAAGAACCGAUCUGGCUUCGCUGUUACAGAUUUCAGCACAGAGAUAUUCCGUCAUGGCUUUCCAUGCAAAAAUUAAGAAUUUUGCAGCUUUUUAUUUGUGCAAACUUAACAGACUCGUGGGACACUGAAGCGAAUCCUCCAUUGCAGUUAAGAGAGCUGAUUAUCAAUAACUGCGGAGUUUUCCGAGGAUUUCCACAGUCAAUAGGACGGCUGGUGCAUCGGAAAGAAAUGAAGGCAAAGUCCAAAUCAUCCGAAAUGAGAAGCCUUCCUAGAGAAUUUUGCUUUCUCCAAUCGCUGGAGUUCCUAAAAUUGUCUAGGUGUAGAAAUCUGUCAUAUCUGCCCAGCGAUUUUGGCGAGUUGACCAACUUGCAACAUCUGGAUCUAUCCUAUUGCUCUCAGGUGAGGUCUUUACCAGUAUCUUUUAAGCAGUUGACACUCCUGCAAUAUUUCAAUUUGGAGGAGUGUGUUGAGCUGACUGUCGAGUCAGAUAAGUUAGACCUUCUGGAAGAUAUGACAAAGUUCAAGUAUUUGAACUUCAAUGGAUGCAGCAAGUUAGAAAAUUUGCCCCUCACCAAUGGAGCGUCUUUGACAGAGCUUUAUUUGGAAAGAACUAGCUUGGGGGAAUUCCCAGAUAAAAUUGGCCAACUAAGCAAGUUGUCAGCGCUCGAGAUAAGUAGUGACUCGUUGACAGCUUUGCCAAGCUUUAUUGGUAAUUUGUCCUCCUUGAAUUCACUGAAAAUCAAAAAGUGCCAAAACUUGAAAUAUUUGCCGGUCUCUCUUGAGACUUUAUCCUCCUUUAACUUCACUCCAUAUCUCUCUUUGCCCCAAACUGGAAUGUUUACCCGAUUCUCUCGGGCGUCUUAAUCUCUUAGAGGAUUUGUCGAUAUCCUGUUCAAAUAUGACUUGUUUGCCAAAAUCAAUUACCCAUGGCAGCGGCAAAAUACAUAUGAAAUACACGAAGGUGUCCGAGAUUUCAAUAUCUGAAGACUGUUGUCCGUGCCUUGAGAUUCUCAUUCUUCAACGCAAUCGUCAUUUGAAGGCUAUCAAAACCCUGCCCAGAACAGUGGAGACCUUAAAAGUGUAUAAUUGCGAGGUCCUGGAGGACAUCGGAGGUAUUUGUGAUCUUGUAAAGCUUCAGACCAUGAAUAUACAUGGCUGUCGAAAGUUAGACGGCCUUCCAAGUUUUUGCCAAGCUGGUUUCCUUGAAAGAACUUGAAUUGCCAGAUCAUCUCAAAAUGAAGAAGAUAGAAAGUUCGGAUUGUUCGGGAAUUGGGAUCAUUGAAGAAUCCCGAAUAAAUGGAUGACAGAACUAGACGCUUUCCCAAGACAGCUAGGAGCAUAGUGAGAAAUUGAUACAUCUGGAAUUGGUAGCAAACUAGCUGCAAUGGUAAGAUCUGCCCAAUGCGAAAAUCUUAGGCCACGUAUCCACAGCAAAUACCGUUAAAAUUGUCGACAGAAGGUUGAGUAGGCUAGGCGGUGCUAAACAUUUUUGCAGGCGUUUUUAGCCUGCCAAUUGCUAUGUAUGGCUGUCUACGCAUGAAUUACCAACCGUCAGACUUUUUUUGGAUCUGUGUCUGCGGCUUCUUUUCGUAUGCCCCUGUGAUUGAACACUUAUUAUUCGCCUUCUAUAUCAAAAUGCUGGCGCAGGUCUUUUGCAGAGUAUGGGGUACGCUUAGGGUUUUGAAAGAUUGAAAUUUGGGCUGCUAUUCAACCCUUCACUCCACGCACACGACUUCCUCUCUGCAGAUCCGUUGGAUGUUCAUUUCCAGACAAGGAUACAAUAUAAGCAAACAAAUUCUGUCAUGCUGAAGAUAAAUUCCACAACAAAUGCUGGCCAUUCUGAAGUGUUUUUUUGGAGGAACAUGGGUUUUUCGAUCAGGGAUAUGAUGAGUUUGUGCUAUUGAAUUUAGCAAAUGAAAAUGCAAUUGAAAAUCAUUCAACCUAUAAGCCAUCAGUCGGGGUUUUGAUAUAAACCAUUCGAAAUUCACCAUCAAAUUAGGGGCUCACUUAAAAUUUUCUGCAUUCGUACCGAGUUAGUUGAGAAUUUUGAAGAAAUUUGUUGGUAGUUAUUUAUUUGUUACUUGUUUAAUUUUAUUAUGUACCUAUAUUUGGGGCAUUUUAUUUGGAGUCGCAUUAUGUGUCACAACCUAGCUGAUACAUCUAAACAGUUAGAUUCUUUUCAUAGUUAAGUAUGCUGAUGAGAUAAUUGUUCUAUUUAUCAAAAAGGGUUGUCAUGAAUCAACCUUGAACUUA